Molecule: ribosomal RNA, 1714 nt
Filed under: marine metagenome
Description: bacterial LSU rRNA
Rfam family: Bacterial large subunit ribosomal RNA
Source: RNAcentral
UAGAUAAGCUGUCUUGCGGCGAAGAUGUAACGGGGCUCAAGCCAUGAGCCGAAGCUUAGGAUGCCGUAAGGCAUGGUAGCGGAGCGUAGUGUGACAUAGUUCCUAUCCUCUUUAGUGCCUUCGGGCACCAUGGAGGAUAUUUGGAGCUUUCGAUGAAGCGGGCGCGUGAGCGAUCCCGUGGAGAGAUCACUAGUGAGAAUGAUGACAUGAGUAGCGACAAAGAGUGUGAGAGACACUCUCGCCGAAAGUCCAAGGGUUCCUGCUUAAAGCUAAUCUGAGCAGGGUAAGCCGACCCCUAAGGCGAGGCCGAAAGGCGUAGUCGAUGGGAACCAGGUUAAUAUUCCUGGGCCAGAUGGAAGUGACGGAUCGUGACGGUUGUUCCUCCUUAUCGGAUUGGAGGGGCCGCUAAUCGGUUCCUGGAAAUAGCUCCAUCAUGAGAUCGUACCCUAAACCGACACAGGUGGACUGGUAGAGAAUACCAAGGCGCUUGAGAGAACGAUGUUGAAGGAACUCGGCAAAAUACCUCCGUAAGUUCGCGAGAAGGAGGCCCAGUUUCUACGCAAGUAUUGGCUGGGGGCACAAACCAGGGGGUGGCGACUGUUUACUAAAAACACAGGGCUCUGCGAAGUCGCAAGACGACGUAUAGGGUCUGACGCCUGCCCGGUGCCGGAAGGUUAAGGGAGGCGCUAAUCUUCGGAGAAGGCGUUGACUGAAGCCCCGGUAAACGGCGGCCGUAACUAUAACGGUCCUAAGGUAGCGAAAUUCCUUGUCGGGUAAGUUCCGACCUGCACGAAUGGCGUAACGACUUCCCCACUGUCUCCAACAUCGACUCAGCGAAAUUGAAUUGCCUGUCAAGAUGCAGGCUUCCCGCGGUUAGACGGAAAGACCCCGUGCACCUUUACUACAGCUUCACACUGGCAUUAGGCCGAACAUGUGCAGGAUAGGUGGUAGGCUUUGAAGCAGGGACGCCAGUCCCUGUGGAGCCUCCCUUGAGAUACCACCCUUGUUCUGCUUGAUGUCUAACCGCGGCCCGUUAUCCGGGUCCGGGACCCUGCGUGGUGGGUAGUUUGACUGGGGCGGUCGCCUCCUAAAGAGUAACGGAGGUGUACAAAAGGUAUGCUCAAAUUGAAAUUAGCAUCAAUUGUAGAGCGCAAUGGUAAAAGCAUGCUUGACUAUAAGACAGACAUGUCAAAUAGAAACGAAAGUUAGUCAUAGUGAUCCGGUAAUUUUGUGUGGAAAAAUUAUCGCUCAACGGAUAAAAGGUACGCCAGGGAUAACAGGCUUAUGAUUCUUAAGAGCUCUUAUCGAUGGAAUCGUUUGGCACCUCGGUGUCGGCUCAUCACAUCCUGGAGCUGUAGAAGGUUCCAAGGGUUCGGCUGUUCGCCGAUUAAAGUGGUACGUGAGUUGGGUUUAGACCGUCGUGAGACAGGUCGGCUCCUAUCUGCCAUAAGUGUAAGAAAAUUGAAAGAAACUGACCUUAGUACGAGAGGAUUGGGAAAGGGUAACCUCUGAUGUAUCGGUUGUUUAUACUAAAAGCAUUGCCGAGUAGUUACGUUAAAUUGAAAGAAUUGCUGAAAACAUAUAAGCAAGAAAUUAAUCUUAAAACAAAUUUUCUCAUAAGAAAAGUAAAAGAUGAUUACUUUGAUAGGUUUAGUGUGUUCUGAUUGAAAAAUCAAAAGCAUUUAAAUACUAAUAAAUCUAAUUUUUUUUUUAA